UACGGAGGGGGCUAGCGUUGUUCGGAAUUACUGGGCGUAAAGCGCGCGUAGGUGGUUUGUUAAGUUGAAUGUGAAAUCCCCGGGCUCAACCUGGGAACUGCAUCCAAAACUGGCAAGCUAGAGUAGGGCAGAGGGUGGUGGAAUUUCCUGUGUAGCGGUGAAAUGCGUAGAUAUAGGAAGGAACACCAGUGGCGAAGGCGACCACCUGGGCUCAUACUGACACUGAGGUGCGAAAGCGUGGGGAGCAAACAGG
This 253-nucleotide ribosomal RNA is filed under the name uncultured bacterium. RNAcentral's name for it is "partial 16S ribosomal RNA". It matches the Rfam family "Bacterial small subunit ribosomal RNA", at positions 524 to 776 of the family's 1533-position model. The record is from RNAcentral.